GUCCUUCGCAUCGGGACAUCCAUCUCGGUGGGGUCCAGAUCGGCGACGUUGUUCUGGUUUGACAGAUGGGCUGGAGACUCCCCCUUCGCCGCGCGCUUCCCCGACCUCUUCUCCAUCGCAGUAGCACCCUUGAUCUCUGUCGAGAGGGCCCUUAUCAACCUCGGGCGCCUUGCUUUUCGGAGGCCCUUUGGUCCCCCGGAAUCCGCCGCUUGGCGUGAGUUACUAGACUGCGUUGCUCUUCACGAGCCUGUGGUGGACAGUGGCCCUGACCAGGUGAGAUGGCGUCUCGAACCAUCGGGCCAAUUCUCCACCAAGUCUCUGUACCAGGCCAUCGCUCCCUCCUCCGCCCCUCCCCCCUUUACGGUGUGGUCCAUCCGCCUGCCCCUAAAAAUCCGGAUCUUCAUGUGGCAGUGGAUUCGCGGUCGACUUCCGUCUGGCGUCGAGGUUCGCAAGCGCAAUGGUCUGGGCUCCGGCCUCUGCCCGCUUUGCGGCGUCCCUGAAGACUCGAAUCACAUCCUCUUCUCCUGCGUAUCCGCGCAAUUCGUGUGGAGCUGCUUCCGUGACGUGGUGGUGGAAAUUGGUGUCACACCAACUUCCCCGACCUAUAUGACGAGCUCCAGUCCUCCCCCUUGA
Molecule: ribosomal RNA, 633 nt
Filed under: Triticum aestivum (bread wheat)
Lineage: Eukaryota; Viridiplantae; Streptophyta; Magnoliopsida; Poales; Poaceae
Description: partial small subunit ribosomal RNA
Source: RNAcentral